This is a long non-coding RNA of Alosa sapidissima (American shad), 104 nucleotides long. RefSeq lists it as uncharacterized. The record is from RefSeq and is a predicted model, not a curated record. The transcript is spliced from 3 exons. Lineage: Eukaryota; Metazoa; Chordata; Actinopteri; Clupeiformes; Clupeidae.
CCUUAAGUGUGGAUAGAAACAAGGAGAACAUGAUUAUGCACCAGCCACACCAGAUCCCAUUGCACCAGACUACCUUCUGAAGUUUAGAAUGAUUAUGGAUUUUU